UAUUCUGGUGUCCUAGGCGUAGAGGAACCACACCAACCCAUCCCGAACUUGGUGGUUAAACCCUACUGCGGUGACGAUACUGUAGGAGAGGUCCUGCGGAAAAAUAGCUCGACGCCGGGAUGAUAAAAAGC
Molecule: ribosomal RNA, 131 nt
Filed under: Strobilanthes cusia
Lineage: Eukaryota; Viridiplantae; Streptophyta; Magnoliopsida; Lamiales; Acanthaceae
Also listed under: 6 other names
Source: RNAcentral